This 4155-nucleotide long non-coding RNA is filed under the name Salmo salar (Atlantic salmon). RNAcentral describes it as "lncRNA (ENSSSAG00000109268.1)". The record is from RNAcentral. Lineage: Eukaryota; Metazoa; Chordata; Actinopteri; Salmoniformes; Salmonidae.
GGGCGUCGCUGGAGGCCCCGGGCUGAGGGGCGUCGCUAGAGGCUCCUGACUGGGGAGCGUCGCUGAAGGCUCCGGGCUGAGGAGCGUCGCUGGAGGCUCCUGACUGGGGAGCGUCGCUGGAGGCUCCGGGCUGAGGAGCGUCACUGGAGGCCUCCUGCGUGGAGCUGGGACCGGUCUCCCCGGACUGGGGAGACUUACAGGAGACUGGGUGCGCAGCGCAGGCACGGGGCACAUUGGGCCGUGGAGGUGAACCGGCGGUCUGGAGCUCAGGGCUGGCACACCCCGUCCUGGCUGAAUGGUCACUGUAGCCCGGCACGGGCGGAGCGCUGGCACAGGGCGAACUGGGCUGUGCUGGAGAGUGAGGGCUGCCGUGCGUAGAGCAGGCGCAGGGUAAGCUGGACCGAGGAGACGUACUGGUGGCCAGAUGCGCUGCGCCGGCGCACUUCUCCCUGGCUGCCGGCCAACUCUCGCCCGGCAACGCUGCGGAGCCCACACUGACCGCACCGGACUGUGCGUGCGUGUGGGCGAUACCAUGCGCAUUUCCGCAUAGCUCGGCGCUCUCCUCGUCACCCGCUCCCCACGGUAAGCACGGGGAGUUGGCUCAGGACUCCACCCUGACUCUGCCCAACUCCCCGUGUUGGGCAGAGUGCCUCUCGCACUUGCCUCUUGGCUUAUACAGCGCCUCAUAGUAGCGCCGCUCUGCCUUCGCUGCCUCCAGUUCCUCCUUCGGUCGACGAUACUCUCCAGCCUGCCUCCAGGGUCCUUUCCCGUCUAAAAUCUCCUCCCAUGUCCACGACUCCAAAUACUUCUCCUGCUCCUUACCCCGCUGUUUGGUCUUCUUUCGGUGGGUGGUUCUGUCAUAUAAUAAAAAGGGAAUUAUUUGUAUGCUUACUCAGCUGUGCUUCACAAGUAAUACAACAACGGAUCUAUUACCGGUGUGAUCAUAUAGCCAGGUUUUCUCCAGAUGUUACGCUUGGUAUUCAGGCCAAAGAGUUCCAUCUUCAUUUCAUCAGACCAGAGAAUGGUCUGAGAGUCCUUUAGGUGCCUUUUGGCUAACUCCAAGCGGGCUGUCAAGUGCCUUUUACUGAGGAGUGGCUUCCUUCUGGCCACUCUACCAUACAGGCCUGAUUGGUGGAGUGCUGCAAAGGUGGUUGUCUUACUGGAAGGUUCUCCCAUCCCCACAGAGGAACACUGGAGCUCUGUCAGAGUGACCAUCGGGUUCUUGGUCACCUCCAUGAUCAAGGCCCUUCUACCCCGAUUGCUCAGUUUUGCUGGCAGUCAGCUCUGGGAAGAGUCUUGGUGGUUCCAAACUUCUUCCAUUUAAGCAUGAUGGAAGCCACUGUGUUCUUGGGAACCUUCAAUACUUCAGAAAUGUUUUGCUAAACUUCCCCAGAUCUGUGCCUCGACACAAUCCAGUCUCGGAGCUCUACGGACAAUUUCCUCGACCUCAUGGCUUGGUUUUUGCCCUGACAAGCACCUUCAACUGUGUGACAUUCUAUAGACAGGUUUGUGCCUUUCCAAAUAAUGUCCAAUAAAUUGAAUUUAUCCCAGGUGGACUCCAAUCAAGUUCUCAAAACACCUCAAUGAUGAUCAAUGGACCUGAAUACUUGUGUAAAUUAGGUAUCUGUUUUUUAUUUUUAAUACAUUUGCAAACAUUCUAAAAACCUAUUUUUGCUUUGUCAUUAUGGGUAUUGUGUGUAGAUUGAUGAGGAUUUUUUAUUUAUUUAAUCCAUUUUAGAAUAAGGCUGUAAUGUAACAAAAAUGUGUAAAAAGGGAAGGGGUCUGAAUACUUUCCAAAUGCACUGUAUAUCCUAUAAUUAAUUACAUUGUUUCCAAUUGGCCUAGUUAUCUCUCUCUCAUGUCAUUCAUGAGGUAAUCUCAGUGUAAACUAGUAUGUCAUGUCUACCCAUUUUGUAGAAUAAUUGAUGACAUCUUGACAUCUUUAUGAAUUCAUGAAUUUAUGCUGUACCCCUUAGGGCAGGGAUCAUCAACUAGAUUCAGCCGCGGGCCGAUCUUUUCUUGAGAGGAAGGUCGGGGGGCCGGAUCAUAAUUACAAAUCAUUUGUAGCCUGCAAAUUGAAUGCAAGAAGCACAAACAGAUAUAAUAUUUGACUAAAACGUAAUAAUUUGAAACCUUUGCAUAUGAUCACGUGUCUCUAUUAUAGGUGGAAAUACUUGGGAACAGAUUUCCCAAAUUAAAAUCACUUGGAGCUGAUUUCCUGUUUUUUUUACAGUUUAUGUGCAACAAUGGGAAAAAAUGUAUUUUUUUAUGGCUCAGAAAACUUGGGGGCGCAAAUAAAACAACCAGUUGGGGAACCCUGCCUUAGGAGGUUUUCUGAUCAGCUUACACCGCGUAAUUUUUAAGAGACAAAUGCCUGCUGUAGUUGAAAGAGGAAACUGAAGGUAUUUCAGGAUGUGAAAGGUUAUAGCUGACUGAGCACUCAGUGAGGUCUCACGUAAUGACUCAGGUCAUUUACCCUGUUCUAACUUUUUUUACCUUUAACUAGGUAAGUCAGUUAAGAACAAAUUCUUAUUUACAACGACGGCCUACCUUAAUGGACAGACAGACAACAAUUUUCUUUUCUCAAGUGUAUUUUCAAGUUUGUUGCAAUUUUUUGUGCAUUUAAACAAAUACAUUGAAAAACAAGCAUCUUGAAAACUGCUCUAGUCUGCCUCUAGUCAUUUCCCUCAUACAUUAAUGGAUGGCCUUGAGAUAUUCCUGCAUUAGCAGGAACUUGCAUUAGCAGGCACUUACAAAUCUACAUUUUGCUUUGUGUAUAUUCAGCAAACAUUUUGUAACAUUUUGUAACACCCACCAAAUCCUGUUCAACAUUCACUCCCUCAAAUUUCCCACCCCAAAAUACUUUCAGUUUCUCCUCUUUCUUCCUGAGAACAAUAUCUUUAAAUACAUCAAAAACUUUGAUACAGUUUUUUACUUGGACAACAUUGCAGUUGGCCAAGCCUAUAAUCUACUGUAAAACACAAUGACAGCACAUUGGGCUGUGGUCUGUCUACAAUAUCUGGAUCAUCUAAAGGAAAAUAAAAAGCAUGGAGUACUACAUAAGGCAUCGCCUGGAAUAAUGUCCUAUCACUGAAGCCAUGACCCAAUGGAGAUCCUUGCUAUUUCUGGUCUCAGAAGAAGAGGUGACAGAAUGCUGGAAUGUGACCUACAGCUUCCUGAGGAGUGUGGACUGGGACUCUGCCAAUGCAGAGGGGAGAGAAAUGCUUCCCACUAGGCUGUCAAAUGUCCCUGGUGGUGUGACUAAUGUUAAGGUGUCUGUAUGAAGAGAUGCAUACUUCCUCCUGGGUUGUGAUUAAAGUAUGGGACUCGUGUUAAUGAGUGUUAGCGCUGUGACCAUUUUUUCUUUGUCUGAAGAAAGACAAUUCCCCUGUGCAACGCUCAAGAGACAUCUCUAGUUACGGUACCACCAUGGCAGUCAGGCCUAUUCUAUAUGUCAGUGGGUCAUCAUAACUAAUUAUCUGAAUACAGUGCAAUUGAGCGGACACCAUGACAAUCCAAACUCAAACCAUAUCCGUUCCAGAGCCACAACUCAUCACCAUCUUCCCUGUCUAUCUACUCUGACCUACCAGUCCGCACCUUCCCUGAGGUGCGUUGGAAAGGUGCAUCUUUGCUAUGGGUGUAUGCCGUGCGCCUACAGGGCUCUACUAUGGAGGCCUGUGUCUCUCUCACGUCAGGGCUAGGCACGGAGCAGAGGAGUCAUUUCCAUUUCCUCCCACUUGGCUAAUUACAGUCUGCCUGCUCUGCCAGCCAUUCUUCUUCCCUCUCAUGUCAUAACAGAAACCUGUGCAGUGGAAAACCCCUGAUUACCCUGCAUAGAUUAGAUAGAGGCGUUAAUACAGUAAGUCAAGCCUCGCAGGGUGGUAUAUGUUUUAACAGAGGGAGAAGCGUCGGGAGUUGAUGUUCAUCUUGGUGAGGCCAAGGUGUUUGAGGGGGGUGGAGAGGGCGAAGGCAGCCUUCAUGGGGAUGUCACAGAGCAGGUCAGACUCCUCGCCACACUCCUCCAGCUCGUAGGUGGCGUCGUCCAGCAUCUCCUUGUGGCGGUGACACACCUGCUCCACCUUCAGCCGGUGGAUCUCCACACGCAGGCGGAUCAGCUGGCGCGCUAGACGGUUAUCCUGGAACCGCAUCUCCCUC